UACGUAGGGUGCAAGCGUUGUCCGGAAUUAUUGGGCGUAAAGAGCUCGUAGGCGGUCGAUCAAGUCUGGGGUGAAAUCUUUCGGCUUAACCGGAAAAGUGCCUGGGAUACUGUGCGACUAGAGUGCGGAAGGGGCAACUGGAAUUCUCGGUGUAGCGGUGAAAUGCGUAGAUAUCGAGAGGAACACCUGCGGCGAAGGCGGGUUGCUGGGCCGACACUGACGCUGAUGCGCGAAAGCCAGGGGAGCGAACGGG
This 253-nucleotide ribosomal RNA is filed under the name uncultured bacterium. Its description in RNAcentral is "partial 16S ribosomal RNA". It matches the Rfam family "Bacterial small subunit ribosomal RNA", at positions 524 to 776 of the family's 1533-position model. The record is from RNAcentral.